RNAcentral lists this ribosomal RNA (171 nucleotides) under uncultured bacterium. RNAcentral's name for it is "partial 16S ribosomal RNA". It matches the Rfam family "Bacterial small subunit ribosomal RNA", at positions 1330 to 1500 of the family's 1533-position model. The record is from RNAcentral.
AAUUGCUAGUAAUGGCAGGUCAGCAUACUGCCGUGAAUACGUUCCCGGGCCCUUGUACACACCGCCCGUCACACCAUGAGAGUUGGAAAUACCCGAAGCCUGUGAGCUAACUUAAAGAGGCAGCAGUCGAAGGUAGAGCCAAUGAUUGGGGUGAAGUCGUAACAAGGUAGC